UGGGGAAUAUUGGACAAUGGGGGAAACCCUGAUCCAGCCAUGCCGCGUGAGUGAUGAAGGCCCUAGGGUUGUAAAGCUCUUUUACCCGGGAAGAUAAUGACUGUACCGGGAGAAUAAGCUCCGGCUAACUCCGUGCCAGCAGCCGCGGUAAUACGGAGGAUGCAAGCGUUAUCCGGAAUAAUUGGGCGUAAAGCGUUCGUAGGUGGUUUUGUAAGUCUGCUGUUAAAGCGUGUAGCUCAAUUACAUAUAGGCAGUGGAAACUACAAGACUUGAGUGCGUUCGGGGCAGAGGGAAUUCCUAGUGUAGCGGUGAAAUGCGUAGAGAUUAGGAAGAACACCGGUGGCGAAAGCGCUCUGCUAGGCCGCAACUGACACUGAGGGACGAAAGCUAGGGGAGCGAAUGGGAUUAGAUACCCGUGUAGUCC
This 424-nucleotide ribosomal RNA is filed under the name uncultured prokaryote. Its description in RNAcentral is "bacterial SSU rRNA". It matches the Rfam family "Bacterial small subunit ribosomal RNA", at positions 355 to 796 of the family's 1533-position model. The record is from RNAcentral.